RNAcentral lists this ribosomal RNA (319 nucleotides) under Clostridioides difficile. RNAcentral describes it as "partial 23S ribosomal RNA". It matches the Rfam family "Bacterial large subunit ribosomal RNA", at positions 1322 to 1638 of the family's 2925-position model. The record is from RNAcentral. Lineage: Bacteria; Bacillati; Bacillota; Clostridia; Peptostreptococcales; Peptostreptococcaceae.
UGAGAAUCCCACAGGCCGUAAACCCAAGGUUUCCAGGGGAAGGUUCGUCCGCCCUGGGUUAGUCGGGACCUAAGCUGAGGCCGAAAGGCGUAGGUGAUGGACAACAGGUUGAUAUUCCUGUACUACCGAUAACCGUUUGAGAGAUGGGAUGACACAGUAGGAUAAGCUAAGCACACUGUUGGUUAUGUGUGACCAAGCAUUGAGGCAGUCAGAGUAGGUAAAUCCGCUUUGAUAAUGCUGGGAUGUGAUGGGGAGCGAAAUUUAGUAGCGAAGUAGCUGAUUUCACACUGUCAAGAAAAGUCUCUAUCGAGGUUAAAGG